GGGGGUGUCACGGAUUCGACCUUGUGUCGUAGUGCGAGGCUGCAUGUCGGAGAUAAUGGAGGCUCCGUAUCAAUCCAUUACAAAAAUUAAUUGGCGAAGAACAAUUCGCAAUGGCGGCGUAAAAUCGCCCCACGUUUCUACCCGGACACCUGCUACGGACUAGAAGCGACGACUAGCAGGCAUAGCUGAAACACGGACCUUCGGGUUUCAGCCGUAUUUUAGAAGGUCUGGAAACGGACGAGCCUGUUUUGAGGCGCGUCCGCGACGACAACAAAUUCAAAACUAAGCAUGUAGAUGCCGCGUAUGAAAGCACGAGGGACGCGGGUUCGACUCCCGCCACCUCCACCA
This 348-nucleotide transfer-messenger RNA is filed under the name Opitutales. Its description in RNAcentral is "UBA7441 sp009908325 Standard tmRNA". It matches the Rfam family "transfer-messenger RNA". Rfam says of the family: Bacterial tmRNA, also known as 10Sa RNA or SsrA, is named for its dual tRNA and mRNA-like properties. Its role is to liberate the mRNA from a stalled ribosome. To accomplish this part of the tmRNA is used as a reading frame that ends in a translation stop signal. RNAcentral also lists the same sequence under 1 other name. Lineage: Bacteria; Pseudomonadati; Verrucomicrobiota; Opitutia. The record is from RNAcentral.